AAGUCGUAACAAGGUUUCCGUAGGUGAACCUGCGGAAGGAUCAUUACCGAGUGAGGGCCCUCUGGGUCCAACCUCCCACCCGUGUUUAUUUUACCUUGUUGCUUCGGCGGGCCCGCCUUAACUGGCCGCCGGGGGGCUUACGCCCCCGGGCCCGCGCCCGCCGAAGACACCCUCGAACUCUGUCUGAAGAUUGUAGUCUGAGUGAAAAUAUAAAUUAUUUAAAACUUUCAACAACGGAUCUCUUGGUUCCGGCAUCGAUGAAGAACGCAGCGAAAUGCGAUACGUAAUGUGAAUUGCAAAUUCAGUGAAUCAUCGAGUCUUUGAACGCACAUUGCGCCCCCUGGUAUUCCGGGGGGCAUGCCUGUCCGAGCGUCAUUGCUGCCCUCAAGCACGGCUUGUGUGUUGGGCCCCGUCCUCCGAUCCCGGGGGACGGGCCCGAAAGGCAGCGGCGGCACCGCGUCCGGUCCUCGAGCGUAUGGGGCUUUGUCACCCGCUCUGUAGGCCCGGCCGGCGCUUGCCGAUCAACCCAAAUUUUUAUCCAGGUUGACCUCGGAUCAGGUAGGGAUACCCGCUGAACUUAAGCAUAUCAAUAAGCGGAGGA
RNAcentral lists this ribosomal RNA (601 nucleotides) under Penicillium chrysogenum. RNAcentral describes it as "eukaryotic LSU rRNA". The stretch from base 223 to 375 matches the Rfam family "5.8S ribosomal RNA". The record is from RNAcentral. Lineage: Eukaryota; Fungi; Ascomycota; Eurotiomycetes; Eurotiales; Aspergillaceae.